Molecule: long non-coding RNA, 1474 nt
Organism: Stegostoma tigrinum
Lineage: Eukaryota; Metazoa; Chordata; Chondrichthyes; Orectolobiformes; Stegostomatidae
Exons: 3
Source: RefSeq, a predicted model, not a curated record
GAAGAGGUCAUUUUUCAAACGCAUAUUCCACCAUUUUCUGAUAAUUUUGUUUCAGAUUUCUAGCACGGACAGCUGGGCUGUUUCUUUUCUGCUUCCAAGCCAUUAUUGUGUUAACUACCUAAAUGGUCCUAAGUUGUUUUAUGCAAUCGUUUUGUUGUACACAAGAUUCUAAUCUCAGCAAAGUACCUGGAAGAAACUGUGACUGAAGGUCAUCUGAAGGAUAGAAACCAGCAUGACAAAGCGCAGCUUUCUAACCUCUGUGAAGAGGCCAUUUUAAUAACGAUAUCCCUUGGGAGAAAACCAUUUACCUGUUUGUUCAGAUACGUUUGUGGUUCAGUCAAGCCUAACAAGGAAGAAUGAAGUAGUUGUUCAAACACGAAAACUUGGGAUUUAAAAAGUGGGACGAUAUUUUUCGAGAAGUCUGCAUGUAUUUUCUAUCGUCAAAUGUCCUAAAAAGGAGAAAAUAACAGGCUAGGAUGGAGGGUAGGUGCCUGACAUUCAGCCUCCCAUCAUCUACAAGGAUAGGAUCUUGUCCCUUGCCAGGAGGGAUAGAACAUCGCUCAGUGGAGAUGCUGAAAGGCCCAUGACCUAGCUACCAGGUACCAGUGAGAUGUUGACAGCCUAUAAUCAAGUAGAUGGUACCUCAACAUAUCCAUGUCUGAGGAAAAGAACUCGGGCUUUUGCAGAAACAUCAGCAAGUGUAGCUCCUGCAUUGCCCACCAGCUGAGAAACUGACACUUUGGUGGGAAGGUUAGCUGGAUUAGAGUUGGUAGAGCCUGCUGCUGAGCACGUCAGUGCCAGAACUCUGCAGCUGGUUGAGGAAGAAAUGCCUAAAGACUCUGGCACUCAGAGGACUACCAAAGAAGAGGCACCUGCUCAGCUUCAGGCACAAGAAGAUCCCAUGGUUUGGAAAUUUAUGACUUCAUACAAAUGCACGAGAUAACACUGGGCAACUUGCCACACACAGAUACAGAAUCAUGGUUGGCUGUCUCCAGUCAAAAGAAUAUCGCUGAUAUCUUGUAAUCAUGAGAGGUAUUAACAUGCUCCAUUCCUAAUGCACAACCUCCGAGAUAUACAGAUCAAUUUUAUUGAUCACAGGAGAGGGUAGAUUGUAGGACAUCUUUUAUGGCAAUAAAAAUUCAAUUGAUGUGGUCUUCGAUUGAAGGGUGCUUGGGCUUGAACUGCUAUCUGAUUCCGUAGCCUGAACAACCCAUGUAUUGCUGAUCUUUACAAAAAAUGGUCUUCAACAGCAGGAUAUAGUCUUGAUAUAUUUUUCUCUUACUUGCUGUAUUUCACUUCACUCAUUAAAACCUACCUCCUGUGUGCAUCUAUUAAGAUUCUGCAUGCAAGGCCUGUUGCGUUAACCAUUGCCAUCAGAGAUUAUUAGAAAUACUGUUGUGAACGUUGUAUGUUGCAUGCUCUGGAUUUUAAUUUGCUACAAAAAUUUUUUUGUAUCCCUAUUCUCACGCACAAC